GAAAUGCGAUAAGUAGUGUGAAUUGCAGAAUUCAGUGAAUCAUCGAAUCUUUGAACGCACAUUGCGCCCCUUGGUAUCCCGAGGGGCAUGCCUGUUCGAGCGUCAUUUCACCCCUCAAGCCUGGCUUGGUGUUGGGCGACGUCCUUUUUGAGGACGCGCUUCGAAACGUUCGGCGGCGUGGCACCGGCUUUAAGCGUAGCAGAAUCUUUCGCUUUUAAGGUUGAGGCCCCGUCUGCCGGAAGACCCACUCGCAAGGUUGACCUCGGAUCAGGCAGGGAUACCCGCUGAACUUAA
This 294-nucleotide unclassified non-coding RNA is filed under the name uncultured Cenococcum. RNAcentral describes it as "sequence contains ITS1". The stretch from base 1 to 105 matches the Rfam family "5.8S ribosomal RNA", at positions 50 to 154 of the family's 154-position model. Lineage: Eukaryota; Fungi; Ascomycota; Dothideomycetes; Gloniales; Gloniaceae. The record is from RNAcentral.